AUGUUGUCUCGGUGCGCAGCGGCGCGGAGGAGGGACCGCCGCCACCAGCCCGGCUCCGCGGGGGCCGCCCGGCUCCUCCCCGCGGCCUCCGGUUCGGGCGCGGAGGCGCUGCCCCGGCCGGGAAGCGCGGUGAUCCCAGCCCGGAGCGCAUGGAGGGAAACACGGUGCGGAGGAGGGGCCGCGGUGCCCACCGGAGAUCCCGGCCAUAGGGGCGGGGAGUCUCCUCCUCCUCCUCCUCCUCCUCCCGCAGCGAGGCUCCGGCUCCCCGCACGCACCGGAGCGCUCGGCUCCCUCCUCCUCGUCCCUCCUCCCUUCCCCUCCUCCCCGCUUCCCUCCCCGGGUCGCCGCGGCUCCGGGAGGAGCGGGGGGGCCCCCGCUUCCUUCCCUCCCCCCCUCCUUCUCCCCCCCGCCACGCCGAGGAGAGGCAGGUGCAGCUCAAAUAGAACUAUAAAUCUCUGUGUGCCUUCAGUCCCUCUAAUAAGUCUUCUGGCUCUUAGAAGAUUUCAAAUAAAUUUGGCAGCAGAGAUUUCCCAGUUGCCAUAUGGGAACUUCCUUCAAUCACUACAGUCCCUGGCUGCAUUUGCACCAAUUAUUAGAGCUGUAGGAUUCCAGAUUGUAUCAUGAAUUGCUGGAUUUUGAAGGAAAACCUGGACAACUUCCCACGUGUAUGCUGAGUUUAGCAGGGAAAAGGUAAUAUUGAAAAGAUACU
RNAcentral lists this long non-coding RNA (709 nucleotides) under Parus major (Great Tit). Its description in RNAcentral is "lncRNA (ENSPMJG00000014672.1)". Lineage: Eukaryota; Metazoa; Chordata; Aves; Passeriformes; Paridae. The record is from RNAcentral.